GGGCCGUUAGCUCAAUGGAUAGAGCAGAGGAUUUCUACUCCUCAGACGUGGGUUCGACUCCUACACGGCCUG
RNAcentral lists this transfer RNA (72 nucleotides) under Actinomycetota bacterium. RNAcentral's name for it is "Actinobacteria bacterium tRNA-Arg". It matches the Rfam family "tRNA". From Rfam's summary of the family: Transfer RNA (tRNA) molecules are approximately 80 nucleotides in length. Their secondary structure includes four short double-helical elements and three loops (D, anti-codon, and T loops). The record is from RNAcentral. Lineage: Bacteria; Bacillati; Actinomycetota.